This 949-nucleotide long non-coding RNA is filed under the name Homo sapiens (human). RNAcentral's name for it is "HSALNT0141091". The record is from RNAcentral. Lineage: Eukaryota; Metazoa; Chordata; Mammalia; Primates; Hominidae.
GCUCACCGUCCGCCGGCUGCUGGAAGUUCACAUACGCGUAGCCCAAGGAGCGGCGGGUGAUCAUGUCCCUGCAGACCCGGAUGGAGAGGAUGGGCCCGGCCGGGCUGAACUUCUCGUAGAGCAUCGCCUCGGUCACGUCGGGGUGGAGGUCCCCCACGUAGAGCGAGGCCAUGGGGUAGCUGGGGGCACUGGGGUUCAUCUCGGCACGGCUGCCCGCAGGGCCACAGGCCGCGACCUUUCCGUGAGAGGAGGAGAGCGAGUGCCGGGGCUGGGGGCCGGAGCCGGGGGGAGGGGAGCGGGGAGCAAGCGCAGAGGGACAAAAAUCAACCGGAAUUGAAAACUACUCAACGGCCGCAGAACGGGGUCGAUCCACUGCCGCUGGCUGCCGGCUGCCGGCGGGGAGCGAGGGUGGCGGUGUCGGGUCCGGGCAGCGGGAAGGCCUCGGUCUCUUGGUUCCUUCUUGGAGCUGCUGCGGGGCCGCGGGCGGGCGGGUCGGUCUCGGCUGCUUCACCGGGUUAUUUUAUAAAAGAGGAAGAAAAAAAAUAAAAGUCUCCGGCGGGGGAGACGCGGAUUUUUUGUAAAUUUUUUUGGGGUUUUUUAAAAGAUUUUUUUAGAUUUUUUUUGGAUUUUUUAAUAAUAAAUGUGUGUUCCGAGCCCGGAGCACACACUCCGCACUCUCAGCACUAACCGCCGGGGAGAAGGGGAAGCACCGCCUCCUGCACCCUCUACUUAUACCCCGCGCCGCACUCGCCCCGCCCCCGCGCGUCUGACGCCAGGGCCCCUACGCGAGCGUCAGCGCCGGAGUAGGAGGAGACGCGGAGGCCAGGGGGAGGAGGGAAGAGAAAACAGGAGGAAAGAGCAGAGAGGAAGGGAGAGCCUCUCAAGAGAAAAAUGGAGAAGCUGAAAGCCAUUCCCAUCUAAGAACUCAGAGGUGUCAGUUGUUUGCCUG